CCUACGGGUGGCAGCAGUGAGGAAUAUUGGUCAAUGGGCGAGAGCCUGAACCAGCCAAGUCGCGUGAAGGAUGACGGCCCUACGGGUUGUAAACUUCUUUUGUCAGGGAGCAAUUGGGUCCACGCGUGGGCUUAGCGAGAGUACCUGAAGAAAAAGCAUCGGCUAACUCCGUGCCAGCAGCCGCGGUAAUACGGAGGAUGCGAGCGGUAUCCGGAGUUAGUGGGUUUAAAGGGUGCGUAGGCGGAAUAUCAAGUCAGCGGGAAAAAUUCGGGGCCCAACCCCGUCGUGCCGUUGAAACUGAUGUUCUUGAGUGGGCGAGAAGUAUGCGGAAUGCGUGGUGUAGCGGUGAAAUGCAUAGAUAUCACGCAGAACUCCGAUUGCGAAGGCAGCAUACCGGCGCCCAACUGACGCUGAAGCACGAAAGCGUGGGUAUCGAACAGGAUUAGAUACCCGAGUAGUC
RNAcentral lists this ribosomal RNA (460 nucleotides) under uncultured bacterium. Its description in RNAcentral is "partial 16S ribosomal RNA". It matches the Rfam family "Bacterial small subunit ribosomal RNA", at positions 338 to 795 of the family's 1533-position model. The record is from RNAcentral.